This 775-nucleotide ribosomal RNA is filed under the name uncultured Neocallimastigales. RNAcentral describes it as "partial large subunit ribosomal RNA". It matches the Rfam family "Eukaryotic large subunit ribosomal RNA", at positions 22 to 628 of the family's 3401-position model. Lineage: Eukaryota; Fungi; Neocallimastigomycota; Neocallimastigomycetes; Neocallimastigales. The record is from RNAcentral.
GUACACGCUGUGACUAGCAUAUCAAUAAGCGGAGGAAAAGAAACUAACAAGGAUUCCCCUAGUAACGGCGAGUGAAGCGGGAAGAGCUCAAAUUUGAAAUCUUAAAGGGUUUCCCUUUACGAAUUGUAGUUUAAAGAAGUGUUUUCUGUUGAGGUUUUGGUAAAAGUUCUUUGGAAUAGGACAUCAUAGAGGGUGAGAAUCCCGUAUUUGACCUUUACUUUCAACUUUGUGAUACACUUUCAAAGAGUCGGAUUGUUUGGGAGUGCAGUCCAAAAUGGGUGGUAAAUUUCAUCUAAGGCUAAAUAUUGGCGAGAGACCGAUAGCGAACAAGUACCGUGAGGGAAAGAUGAAAAGAACUUUGAAAAGAGAGUUAAACAGUACGUGAAAUUGUCAAAAGGGAAGCGUUUGACACCAGUGUUGUUUUUCUGAAAAUCAAUUAAAGAACUGUUUAUGCUAAGCUGUUUAGACUUUAUCAGCUAACUGUUUAGUUUUGAGCUUUUCUUUAAUGCACUUUUCAGUUAACAAGUCAACAUCAAUUUCUUUUGCUGUAAAAAAGCUUGAGGAAGGUGGCUUGAGAUUCGUCUUAAGUGUUUAUAGCCUCUUGCCUAUGCAGUCGGAGAGAUUGAGGUCUGCAGCGUAGAUCCUUCGGGGCUAAAUGCAUUUGUGCUAAGGUUAUAGCAUUUUAUAGACAACUUGUUGACUAUGAUUUGUCUUGUAGCUUACUCGCUUAUGUUAUUUUACCUACGCUUAGGAUGUUGAGUCGUAGAGCACGCAG